GACGGGGGAUGCAAGCGUUAUCCGGAAUCACUGGGCGUAAAGCGUCUGUAGGUGGUGAUGCAAGUCACUGGUGCAAAACUCUGGCUCAACCGGAGGAAAGCCAGUGAAACUGCAAGACUAGAGUGUGGGAGAGGUAGAAGGAAUUCCCUGAGUAGCGGUGAAAUGCGUAGAUACAGGGAAGAACACCGGAGGCGAAAGCGUUCUACUGGAACACAACUGACACUGAGAGACGAAAGCUAGGGGAGCGCAAGGG
Molecule: ribosomal RNA, 253 nt
Filed under: uncultured bacterium
Lineage: Bacteria
Description: partial 16S ribosomal RNA
Rfam family: Bacterial small subunit ribosomal RNA
Source: RNAcentral